RNAcentral lists this long non-coding RNA (2910 nucleotides) under Homo sapiens (human). RNAcentral's name for it is "HSALNT0232437". Lineage: Eukaryota; Metazoa; Chordata; Mammalia; Primates; Hominidae. The record is from RNAcentral.
CCUUGAGCACAGGCCCAGGGAUUUUGUGGUGAAAACAGCAACCAUAACAGCUGAGGCAGGUGCUAGGAGGCUGUGCCCUCAUCCCCUAGGCCCACCUGAUGCUACCUGCAGUUGCUGUGGAAAGUUCCAGAACACUGAUGACUUCCCAUCCGGGGCACCCGCUCUCUCAGAGGGGGUUACCCAGAUACUCCAAGACCAAGUGACUUGCCCAAGGUCACAAACCAGGCUCCCAGCCCAGAUGGAGUCUGAUUUCAGAGCUGGCUUUCACUAUGACUUUGUCCCAGGAUGGGCUGGAGAGUCAACAAUAGGCCGGGGUUGUUUCAUCUUCCUGAAUAAGCAAGCAGGUUAUUCUGAGAGCUGAUUGACAUAUGCAUGGGCAGAUGUUUUAUAAACUGCAUUCUCUACAAACUGAAGGGGCAAAUGUGAUGGAUUCCAAGGCUCCACAAGACAUUAUCAUGGUCAAUGUCCAGCAGACCAGAUAUGGGGUGAUCAAUUGUUUGAAGGUAAAAGUUGUCAAGAAUAACUUUAGACUUUGCUGGGAAUGCAAUAUCUUCUGACAAGGAGGAGUUGGCUGGAACAGCCUGGGCUCUGUACCUGUCCCUCAGAUGUCCUUUGGUGCUUUAGCCCAGUGACUCAUCGAUCUCCCAGAUUGAAGUUUGCUGGGAGAUUCCAACUGACCUGGAAGUUGCUGGAUUGAUGGGAAGAGAUCCUUCUAAUCUUAGAAGAAUUCUUGGAAUGGCUCAGAAAUAGAAACUCAAGAAGCAGAGGGAUUUAAUUACACAGGAGCUGGGACUUCUAGAUUAUGACAUUUAUAUGGUUUGGGUCUGUGUCCCCACCCAAAUCACAUGUCAAAUUAUAAUCCCCAAUGUUGGCGGUGGAGCCUGGUGGGAGGUGAUUGGAUCAUGUGGGUGGAUUUUCUUUUUGGUGCUGUUCUCAUGAUAGUGAGUGAAUUAUCAUAAGGUCAGGUUGUUUAAAAGUGUUUGGCACCUUCCCACUUUCUCUCUUCCUUCUAUUCUAGCCAUGGUUGAAGACAUGCCUGUUUCCCCUUCGCCAUCUGCCAUGACUGUAAGCUUCCUGAGGCCUUCCCAGUCAUGCUUCCUGUAUAGCCUGUGGAAACAUGCGCCAAUUAAAACCUCUUUUCUUUAUAAAUUACCUAGUCUCAGGUAUUUCUUUAUAGCAAUGCAAGAAUGGACAAAUACAGACAUCUUACGGAAAAAAGUUUAUCAAGUGGAAAGCUCUAUUGUGUACCCUCCUUGAAAAUAGAUGACCUGUUUUCUCAUCUUUCUCUUAGCGUGCUGUGGUCUUCACAUGCAGAAAGAGGAACAAGUUAAGUAGUGGUUGUCUUUGAAUAUUUUCUUAUUGAAUGGUUUCUGGCCUGGCUCAGUCCCCUUAACAUGUCAUCCUAAAGAAAUAACGAAAUAUCUUUUCCUUACAAGGCUUUCUAAAGUAUGACUUAUAAGUCAGAAACCACAAGAGAAAAUAUUAAUAAGUCCAAUAAUGUUAAAAUUGACUUAGCUAAAUGCAUCAUAAACAAGAUAAAAAAAACAUCAAACUGGAAAGAUGUUUGCAGGCUAUGUCACAGAGGAACGGAUGGUUUCUCUAAUAUAUAAAAAGUUCCAACAAACUGAUAAGAAAAGUGGACAAAGAAUACAAAAAGUCCAUAGAAAAGGAAGUAAAACUGCUUCUUAAGCAUAUGAAAAUUUACUUAGUCUCACGAGUAAGAAACAUAAAUUUUAAAAAACAUGGAGAUAGGCUGGGUGCAAUGGCCCACGCCUGUAAUCCCAGCACUUUGGGAGGCUGCUGCAGGUGGAUCAUUUGAGGUCAGUUUGAAAUCAGACUGGCUAACAUGAUGAAACCCUAUCUCUACUAAAAAUACAAAAAUUAACCAGGCAUGGUGGCAGGUGCCUGUAAUCCCAGCUACUAGGGAGGCAGAGGCAGGAGAAUUGCUUGAAUCUGGGAGGCAGAGGUUGAAGUGAGCCAAGAUUGUGCCACUGUACUCCAGCCUGGGCAACAGAGCAAGACUCCCUCUCAAAAAAAAACCACAAAAAAACAAAAACAAAAAAAGCCAGAAAACCCCCGCAAAACAUGGAGAUAAUCUUUUUCGUUUUUUCUGGGUGGCAAAGAUUAAAAAGUUAGAAAAUGCCAAGAUAGCGAGAGGUGUGUAUGAGUGUGAUAUUGGUGGUAGCGUAAAUUGCUAUAACUCUCUUGGGGGGGAAUUUGGCAAUAUCUUACCAAUAUCCUGCCAAUAUCUUUCUUACUCAUAAGUCAAAACUGUGCUUGUUAAAUCCACAAAUGAUAAUGUUUUUCCAUGUAUAUUGAAGUUUCUUAAGUAGUGUUUUAUAGAAUAAGUUUUCCUAAUACAUCAUUGAAGAGGUUUUCAGGAGCAUAGUUUGAAAAAUACUGACAGGUAUAAUGUAGGAAGUAGUUAGAAUAUAUCUGGGAGCUACCAACACCAUUCAGGUCUAGCUAUAGUGAUGUUUGCUGCCCCUCUUAGGAAGGGAAACCUUUCACAAACCUCCACCUUCAUUUUCUCCUCUUGCAAAUGCUUUUUGGUCAGAAGCAUAAAUGCCAGAGCUGCAAAAGUGAUUCAAAACCCAAGAGAACUCCCUGGGGAUAGUCUGUUCUCUCUGUAGCUGGGACAAGGAGAUGGCAGGCCCUUCUCUUCCCAAGAACCUCCCUGAUGUGCAACGAGAGGCCACAGACUUAUCUUGCAGCAUUAAUUAGGAGAGAUGCAACAUUUGGGGACAAUCUGUUCAAGAAACCCUGCACAGGACACGUUUUCAUCCUGGGCUCUGGGGCUGAUAUGUGCCAGUGGCCUAACUCCACACACCUCGAUGGAAUUCUCUGGCAGAACCGCUCCAAAAUGUGUGGAAAAAUCUGUUUUUCUGGAUUCUCCUUCUUUGCUUCAAG